GAGAAGUGUAACUGCCACCCCAGCCCCCACCCCAUUCCAACUGACGACAGAGUGAGUCUGAGUUUAAAGAUGGUAAGAGAAUGAGCUUGGUCCCUAAGGAAAGGAGAAGUGAAUCUACUAAAUAUCUGCUGAAAAUAUUUUUCUAAGACUUCUCCAGUUCACACUGAAAAGCAGGCACCAUGGAGUGAGACCGGUUCCAUUAUCCAGUGUAAGAACACCAAGUAACUCUACAGGAACAUGAUGACCUCCUCAGAGAGGAACAUCUAUGCUGGCAUCCAUCAUCGAUGACAACUGAAAGACCUGGUAUGGCAUCUCCAGUCACUGAUCCCAGAUGGUCAACGUUCCUGCCUCAUAGCCCAGUAGUCCCAGAUGGUCAACAUCCCUGCCUCAUAGCCCACCAGUACCUGUAUAACUGCCUCAAGAUUAUGUGCUUGUUUAUGAUGGUCUUUGGGACAUGAGUGUUCCAUCUUCCAAUAUUGCUGGCUAAUAGAAUAAAUCCCUUUCUCAACCAA
Molecule: long non-coding RNA, 512 nt
Filed under: Equus asinus (donkey)
Lineage: Eukaryota; Metazoa; Chordata; Mammalia; Perissodactyla; Equidae
Description: lncRNA (ENSEASG00005023678.1)
Source: RNAcentral